This is a non-coding RNA of Mesocricetus auratus (golden hamster), 80 nucleotides long. Lineage: Eukaryota; Metazoa; Chordata; Mammalia; Rodentia; Cricetidae. The record is from Rfam.
AUGGAGACAUGGCAUAAAGCCAGGGAGUAAGGGACAUGAACUUGUCAGACUAUAACUUGAACUGAGUUACAUCUCAUUUU